This 1085-nucleotide ribosomal RNA is filed under the name Staphylococcus aureus. RNAcentral's name for it is "partial 23S ribosomal RNA". It matches the Rfam family "Bacterial large subunit ribosomal RNA", at positions 566 to 1654 of the family's 2925-position model. The record is from RNAcentral. Lineage: Bacteria; Bacillati; Bacillota; Bacilli; Caryophanales; Staphylococcaceae.
ACAAGUAGUCAGAGCCCGUUAAUGGGUGAUGGCGUGCCUUUUGUAGAAUGAACCGGCGAGUUACGAUUUGAUGCAAGGUUAAGCAGUAAAUGUGGAGCCGUAGCGAAAGCGAGUCUGAAUAGGGCGUUUAGUAUUUGGUCGUAGACCCGAAACCAGGUGAUCUACCCUUGGUCAGGUUGAAGUUCAGGUAACACUGAAUGGAGGACCGAACCGACUUACGUUGAAAAGUGAGCGGAUGAACUGAGGGUAGCGGAGAAAUUCCAAUCGAACCUGGAGAUAGCUGGUUCUCUCCGAAAUAGCUUUAGGGCUAGCCUCAAGUGAUGAUUAUUGGAGGUAGAGCACUGUUUGGACGAGGGGCCCCUCUCGGGUUACCGAAUUCAGACAAACUCCGAAUGCCAAUUAAUUUAACUUGGGAGUCAGAACAUGGGUGAUAAGGUCCGUGUUCGAAAGGGAAACAGCCCAGACCACCAGCUAAGGUCCCAAAAUAUAUGUUAAGUGGAAAAGGAUGUGGCGUUGCCCAGACAACUAGGAUGUUGGCUUAGAAGCAGCCAUCAUUUAAAGAGUGCGUAAUAGCUCACUAGUCGAGUGACACUGCGCCGAAAAUGUACCGGGGCUAAACAUAUUACCGAAGCUGUGGAUUGUCCUUUGGACAAUGGUAGGAGAGCGUUCUAAGGGCGUUGAAGCAUGAUCGUAAGGACAUGUGGAGCGCUUAGAAGUGAGAAUGCCGGUGUGAGUAGCGAAAGACGGGUGAGAAUCCCGUCCACCGAUUGACUAAGGUUUCCAGAGGAAGGCUCGUCCGCUCUGGGUUAGUCGGGUCCUAAGCUGAGGCCGACAGGCGUAGGCGAUGGAUAACAGGUUGAUAUUCCUGUACCACCUAUAAUCGUUUUAAUCGAUGGGGGGACGCAGUAGGAUAGGCGAAGCGUGCGAUUGGAUUGCACGUCUAAGCAGUAAGGCUGAGUAUUAGGCAAAUCCGGUACUCGUUGAGGCUGAGCUGUGAUGGGGAGAAGACAUUGUGUCUUCGAGUCGUUGAUUUCACACUGCCGAGAAAAGCCUCUAGAUAGAAAAUAGGUGCCCGUACCGCAAAC